Nothobranchius furzeri (turquoise killifish) is the source of this 591-nucleotide non-coding RNA. NCBI's taxonomy places the organism in Eukaryota, Metazoa, Chordata, Actinopteri, Cyprinodontiformes, Nothobranchiidae. The record is from RefSeq and is a predicted model, not a curated record.
CAACUGCGUUUUUAAAAGCAGCUGGAAACCUAUAUUAAUCUCGAUGCUGGAAACACACCAGAGGAGAAGCUGGAAUUGACAAUAUCCAAAACAGCAGGGGCCACCAGUCUGACUGUGUCAAUUAUCGCCCAAUCUCAAAAGUAAUUGUGUCAUGUUCCUGGGCAGAGGUGAGUCACACCUUCUCCUCUCACCAGACUCUGAGCUAAUUCUCCACAGGUGAGGAGCAGGGGGAGCGGCAGCUGCAGGAGAUUUCCCAAUCAGGGACGCGGGUUCAAAAGGAGGAUGGAGACACAUCACUUUGCCGGAUGAUUGCACCAGUUUAGGAUCAUCUCAUCAUCUACUCACCCUCGCUGUCUUCGUUUUCUGGAACAUACUCAUCACGUCCCAUCCUCCUCCGCCGUUCCUGUUUGGCCUUCCCUCUGCUACCUCACCCCUCCUGGAUCUCUCAUCCUCUGCCCAGCGUCCUCCCCGGCUUCCCCUCCUCUACUGAUUAACCUGAGCACCUCAGAGACUCGAGCCGUAUUGCUCAUCCCACAGGACUUCCCUGUGCGGUUUCAGUUCCCGUUUUUAUAAUAAAGACAUUUUACUUUA